GGGGACCGGGACUCCGGGGGAGAGGGGAGAGAAUUGGAUGGAGAAAUGGGCGUCCAGGGAGAAACGAGGGAGUGGAGGGAAAGGUGGGCUGGGAAAAGAGAGGCGAAAUGACGGAGACAGGAUGCCAGGGGAAGGACCUAGAACAGGGUCUGGUACAUUGUUGGUGUUCAGUAAUGAACUAUGUCAUAAACAAAACCAAAAUUUAAAAAAAGGACUCUAUGAGGACUAAGAUAUAUAUCUGGAGUAUCAUACCACUUGGAGUCUGGGAAUAGGCAAGGAUAAGAUCAUCUGAAGACAAAUGGAACAACUGCUUACAUUUGUAAUGUUGUUUGUAUUUCCUUGACAGAGAUUUCCAAGCAGGAUCCUUUUUGUUUCAAAGAUUGACAAAGUGUUGUGUAGUAGUCACUGUAACCAAAUUCAGUUAUUGCUCUUUGUCUGUAGCAGAGGUAGAUUAGAUACUAUCAAUUCUAGCUGCUUUUAGUGAUUAAAAGGUAAACAUUGUUGUUCAUUUCCUUUUUGGUACUCUAUAGGCGUGGUCAGGUUCUUAGAACCAAGUGGUUGAUUUUCUUUUUCCAUAACCCCCACCCUUACCCACAAUUUUUUUGUUGUUGUUAAAAUGUAGAAAGGCUUGUUCUGGAAGAGUAUUGAUUUUUUUUUAG
Myotis lucifugus (little brown bat) is the source of this 659-nucleotide long non-coding RNA. RefSeq lists it as uncharacterized. The record is from RefSeq and is a predicted model, not a curated record. NCBI's taxonomy places the organism in Eukaryota, Metazoa, Chordata, Mammalia, Chiroptera, Vespertilionidae. The transcript is spliced from 3 exons.